GUGUAUUUUGUACGAUGCCAAUGCCAGCUGUUGUCUUUAACCCAGAAAAAAAUUGCCAUCCAUACCAUGCCUCGAACCUACGUUCGCCAGCAUACUAUCACGUCUCCUACAUCAUUACACUACCACACACACUACCGUCCAAAACCGUAAAAAAAACAUUCAACAUUCCACCGUCAUUUCCCACCACGAUUAUUAUUUUGCAUAAAUCACGACGCAAAUAUUUCUAGCCAGUAGGUAUGCAGAACAUUGCCAAAGACGUACACAAUAUAUAAAUUCAUUUCUGAGAUUAUAGGAAAGGCACAGGAUAAACAAGCUGAAACACGAAGAUGCUUCCAAAACAGUACAGAGGAAGAAAAUACAUACAAAAAACACAUUUC
RNAcentral lists this long non-coding RNA (377 nucleotides) under Androctonus crassicauda. Lineage: Eukaryota; Metazoa; Arthropoda; Arachnida; Scorpiones; Buthidae. The record is from RNAcentral.